AGUGGUUAAGUGCUUGGCUGCUAACCAAAAGGUCGAUGGUUAGAACCCAUCAGCCACUC
This 59-nucleotide transfer RNA is filed under the name Loxodonta africana (African savanna elephant). It matches the Rfam family "tRNA". From Rfam's summary of the family: Transfer RNA (tRNA) molecules are approximately 80 nucleotides in length. Lineage: Eukaryota; Metazoa; Chordata; Mammalia; Proboscidea; Elephantidae. The record is from Rfam by way of RNAcentral.